AUUGUUUUGGCAGAAUUUAUGCAUAGAUUUUAGGAAUCUAUUAUAUAUAAGUAAGUUUAAAUUAUAUAAAUAAUA
RNAcentral lists this transfer RNA (75 nucleotides) under Parapsyche elsis. RNAcentral describes it as "tRNA-Leu". Lineage: Eukaryota; Metazoa; Arthropoda; Insecta; Trichoptera; Hydropsychidae. The record is from RNAcentral.